UGGUGGAGUGAUUUGUCUGGUUAAUUCCGUUAACGAACGAGAUCUCAACCUGUUAACUAGUUGUACCUAUUGCCUAUUCGGGUGAAGCUGGGCAACGUGCGUUUGGGUGUAAAGCCCGGGCGUGCUCGCUUAGUGGAUCCUUGGUGUAUGGGUGGAACUUCUUAGAGGGACUAUUGGGGAAUACCCAAUGGAAGUGAGCCAAUAACA
RNAcentral lists this ribosomal RNA (207 nucleotides) under uncultured eukaryote. RNAcentral's name for it is "partial 18S ribosomal RNA". It matches the Rfam family "Eukaryotic small subunit ribosomal RNA", at positions 1299 to 1458 of the family's 1831-position model. The record is from RNAcentral.